This 500-nucleotide ribosomal RNA is filed under the name uncultured bacterium. Its description in RNAcentral is "partial 16S ribosomal RNA". It matches the Rfam family "Bacterial small subunit ribosomal RNA", at positions 30 to 523 of the family's 1533-position model. The record is from RNAcentral.
AUUGAACGCUGGCGGCAUGCUUUACACAUGCAAGUCGAACGGCAGCACGGACUUCGGUCUGGUGGCGAGUGGCGAACGGGUGAGUAAUGUAUCGGAACGUGCCCAGUCGUGGGGGAUAACGUAGUGAAAAUUACGCUAAUACCGCAUACGAUCUAUGGAUGAAAGCGGGGGAACGCAAGACCUCGCGCGAUUGGAGCGGCCGAUAUCAGACUAGGUAGUUGGUGGGGUAAACGCCCACCAAGCCAACGAUCUGUAGCUGGUCAGAGAGGACGACCAGCCACACUGGAACUGAGACACGGUCCAGACUCCUACGGGAGGCAGCAGUGGGGAAUUUUGGACAAUGGGCGAAAGCCUGAUCCAGCCAUUCCGCGUGCAGGAUGAAGGCCCUCGGGUUGUAAACUGCUUUUGUACAGAACGAAAAGGUCUCUACUAAUACUAGGAGCUCAUGACGGUACUGUAAGAAUAAGCACCGGCUAACUACGUGCCAGCCGCCGCCGUAA